This 148-nucleotide ribosomal RNA is filed under the name Symbiodinium sp. clade D. RNAcentral's name for it is "Durusdinium sp. clade D 5.8S ribosomal RNA". It matches the Rfam family "5.8S ribosomal RNA". Rfam says of the family: 5.8S ribosomal RNA (5.8S rRNA) is a component of the large subunit of the eukaryotic ribosome. It is transcribed by RNA polymerase I as part of the 45S precursor that also contains 18S and 28S rRNA. Lineage: Eukaryota; Dinophyceae; Suessiales; Symbiodiniaceae. The record is from RNAcentral.
ACAACUUUCAGCGACAGAUAUCUCGGAUCAGGCACCUAUGAAGGGCGCAGCGAAGCGCGAUAGUCUUUGUGAAUUGCAGAUCUCCGUGAAUCAAUGGCCCCCUGAACGCGCCUUGGGACUUCCUGAGAGUAUGUUUGCUUCAGUGCUU